Molecule: ribosomal RNA, 251 nt
Filed under: uncultured bacterium
Lineage: Bacteria
Description: partial 16S ribosomal RNA
Rfam family: Bacterial small subunit ribosomal RNA
Source: RNAcentral
ACGGAGGAUGCGAGCGUUAUCCGGAUUUAUUGGGUUUAAAGGGAGCGCAGACGGGAGAUUAAGUCAGCUGUGAAAGUUUGCGGCUCAACCGUAAAAUUGCAGUUGAUACUGGUUUCCUUGAGUGCGGUUGAGGUGUGCGGAAUUCGUGGUGUAGCGGUGAAAUGCUUAGAUAUCACGAAGAACCCCGAUUGCGAAGGCAGCACACUAAGCCGUAACUGACGUUCAUGCUCGAAAGUGUGGGUAUCAAACAG